Non-coding RNA from Myotis davidii, 97 nucleotides. NCBI's taxonomy places the organism in Eukaryota, Metazoa, Chordata, Mammalia, Chiroptera, Vespertilionidae. The record is from Rfam.
AUCACCUGGGGAUCUUGAUAAAAUGCAGAUUCAGUCUCAGUAGGUCUGCAGUGGGGCCUGGGAUUCUGCAUUUCCACAAGCUUCCAGGUGAUGCUGA